GUGUGUUCCAGGUAAAUCCGGUUCACUUUAACACUGAGGCGUGACGACGAGGCACUACGGUGCUGAAGCAACAAAUGCCCUGCUUCCAGGAAAAGCCUCUAAGCAUCAGGUAACAUCAAAUCGUACCCCAAACCGACACAGGUGGUCAGGUAGAGAAUACCAAGGCGCUUGAGAGAACUCGGGUGAAGGAACUAGGCAAAAUGGUGCCGUAACUUCGGGAGAAGGCACGCUGACACGUAGGUGAAGUGAUUUACUCAUGGAGCUGAAGUCAGUCGAAGAUACCAGCUGGCUGCAACUGUUUAUUAAAAACACAGCACUGUGCAAACACGAAAGUGGACGUAUACGGUGUGACGCCUGCCCGGUGCCGGAAGGUUAAUUGAUGGGGUCAGCGCAAGCGAAGCUCCUGAUCGAAGCCCCGGUAAACGGCGGCCGUAACUAUAACGGUCCUAAGGUAGCGAAAUUCCUUGUCGGGUAAGUUCCGACCUGCACGAAUGGCGUAAUGAUGGCCAGGCUGUCUCCACCCGAGACUCAGUGAAAUUGAACUCGCUGUGAAGAUGCAGUGUACCCGCGGCAAGACGGAAAGACCCCGUGAACCUUUACUAUAGCUUGACACUGAACAUUGAGCCUUGAUGUGUAGGAUAGGUGGGAGGCUUUGAAGUGUGGACGCCAGUCUGCAUGGAGCCGACCUUGAAAUACCACCCUUUAAUGUUUGAUGUUCUAACGUGGACCCGUUACCCGGGUUGCGGACAGUGUCUGGUGGGUAGUUUGACUGGGGCGGUCUCCUCCUAAAGAGUAACGGAGGAGCACGAAGGUUGGCUAAUCCUGGUCGGACAUCAGGAGGUUAGUGCAAUGGCAUAAGCCAGCUUGACUGCGAGCGUGACGGCGCGAGCAGGUGCGAAAGCAGGUCAUAGUGAUCCGGUGGUUCUGAAUGGAAGGGCCAUCGCUCAACGGAUAAAAGGUACUCCGGGGAUAACAGGCUGAUACCGCCCAAGAGUUCAUAUCGACGGCGGUGUUUGGCACCUCGAUGUCGGCUCAUCACAUCCUGGGGCUGAAGUAGGUCCCAAGGGUAUGGCUGUUCGCCAUUUAAAGUGGUACGCGAGCUGGGUUUAGAACGUCGUGAGACAGUUCGGUCCCUAUCUGCCGUGGGCGCUGGAGAACUGAGGGGGGCUGCUCCUAGUACGAGAGGACCGGAGUGGACGCAUCACUGGUGUUCGGGUUGUCAUGCCAAUGGCACUGCCCGGUAGCUAAAUGCGGAAGAGAUAAGUGCUGAAAGCAUCUAAGCACGAAACUUGCCCCGAGAUGAGUUCUCCCUGAGACUUAGAGUCUCCUGAAGGAACGUUGAAGACGACGACGUUGAUAGGCCGGGUGUGUAAGCGCAGCGAUGCGUUGAGCUAACCGGUACUAAUGAACCGUGAGGCUUAACCUU
Molecule: ribosomal RNA, 1426 nt
Filed under: Salmonella enterica
Lineage: Bacteria; Pseudomonadati; Pseudomonadota; Gammaproteobacteria; Enterobacterales; Enterobacteriaceae
Also listed under: 1 other name
Description: partial 23S ribosomal RNA
Rfam family: Bacterial large subunit ribosomal RNA
Source: RNAcentral